RNAcentral lists this ribosomal RNA (330 nucleotides) under uncultured bacterium. RNAcentral describes it as "bacterial SSU rRNA". It matches the Rfam family "Bacterial small subunit ribosomal RNA", at positions 568 to 898 of the family's 1533-position model. The record is from RNAcentral.
UCCGUAGGCGGUGUGGCAGGUCGGUAGUGAAAUCUCUCGGCUUAACUGAGAGGCUGCUGCCGAAACUGCCAUGCUCGAGUGCGAGAGAGGCGAGUGGAAUUGCGGGUGUAGCGGUGAAAUGCGUAGAUAUCCGCAGGAACAUCCGAGGCGAAAGCGGCUCGCUGGAUCGCAACUGACGCUGAGGGACGAAAGCUAGGGGAGCAAACAGGAUUAGAUACCCUGGUAGUCCUAGCCCUAAACCAUCAGGACUUGGGGUUUGCCCUGUACGGGGCAAGUCCCGGAGCUAACGCGUUAAGUCCUGCGCCUGGGGAGUACGGUCGCAAGGCUGAA